GCUGACGUAGCUCAGCCGGUCGAGCAUCGGUUUUGUAAACCGACGGUCAGGGGUUCGAAUCCCCUCGUCAGCU
This 73-nucleotide transfer RNA is filed under the name Polyangiaceae bacterium. RNAcentral describes it as "tRNA-Thr". It matches the Rfam family "tRNA". Rfam says of the family: Transfer RNA (tRNA) molecules are approximately 80 nucleotides in length. Their secondary structure includes four short double-helical elements and three loops (D, anti-codon, and T loops). Lineage: Bacteria; Pseudomonadati; Myxococcota; Polyangiales; Polyangiaceae. The record is from RNAcentral.